Molecule: long non-coding RNA, 527 nt
Filed under: Homo sapiens (human)
Lineage: Eukaryota; Metazoa; Chordata; Mammalia; Primates; Hominidae
Description: non-protein coding lnc-OTOP1-6:9
Source: RNAcentral
GCCCUCGCCCAUUCUAAAAAGUCAGCGCCCUCAGGACCGCAGAGCUUAGAAGCAAAGUUAAGAGACUCAUCAGAUUCUGAGCUGCGGCGGGAUAUUUUGCAGAAGACUGUGAAGCAUCCUGUGUGUGUGAAGCACCCGCCGUCAGUCAAGUAUGCCCGGUGCUUUCUCUCAGAACUCAUGAAAAAGGCCAGGCCAGGAUCAGAUGGGAAGUGGAAGCUUGUCAUGACCAGAAACUGUUUCCCUACAAAGAGCACUUGGAGAUGGCAAUGCUGAACCUAAUACUGUAGGACUCACACGCGACUUCAACGGGAUUGUGAGGAUCAAGUCACUCUCAUGGGAAGAAUUUUUACAUGGGAAAGCGGAUAAAACUUUCAUUGGACUGGAAUGUUUGGAGAAUAUUAAUUUCCAAAUCAGGAACCACAAACUGCCCUCUAAUAAGACAUCGGCUAUCUAAGCGUGUGGGUGCCCCCUUUCUGCCAGCAGUUCUGGUUCUUAAGAAAAUCACCAUAAAUCAGACAUGAAAAUUC